Molecule: ribosomal RNA, 468 nt
Filed under: uncultured bacterium
Lineage: Bacteria
Description: partial 16S ribosomal RNA
Rfam family: Bacterial small subunit ribosomal RNA
Source: RNAcentral
GACGAACGCUGGCGGCGUGCUUAACACAUGCAAGUCGAACGGUGAAGCUCCAGCUUGCUGGAGUGGAUCAGUGGCGAACGGGUGAGUAACACGUGAGCAACCUGCCCCAGACUCUGGAAUAAGCGCUGGAAACGGCGUCUAAUACUGGAUACGAGAUCAAGCCGCAUGGUUAUGGUCUGGAAAGUUUUUCGGUGUGGGAUGGGCUCGCGGCCUAUCAGCUUGUUGGUGAGGUAAUGGCUCACCAAGGCGACGACGGGUAGCCGGCCUGAGAGGGCGACCGGCCACACUGGGACUGAGACACGGCCCAGACUCCUACGGGAGGCAGCAGUGGGGAAUAUUGCACAAUGGGCGAAAGCCUGAUGCAGCGACGCCGCGUGAGGGAUGACGGCCUUCGGGUUGUAAACCUCUUUCAGCAGGGAAGAAGCGAAAGUGACGGUACCUGCAGAAGAAGCACCGGCUAACUACGUG